Long non-coding RNA from Varanus komodoensis (Komodo dragon), 1264 nucleotides. RefSeq lists it as uncharacterized. NCBI's taxonomy places the organism in Eukaryota, Metazoa, Chordata, Lepidosauria, Squamata, Varanidae. The transcript has 3 exons. The record is from RefSeq and is a predicted model, not a curated record.
CAUUUCCUUCUGGAUCUGCCACUAUGAAGUAUAACCUGGAAGGAAAAAAGAGUCUGCUGACCAACCCAGCUGAACUGCUAUGAUCACUAACAUCUGUGCUUUCAAGAGCAGUAAGACAAAAUGUCUAUCGCCUGUCCAACUGGUGAGAAAAGCAGUUUCUGACAAUGGAAUAUAUUCUUAAGGGAAAAUACAGAUCUGUGAAUGUUAUGCUCUCUCACUCCCUCAAUCUGGUCAAACUUGACAUCAAGUUUCUGCAAUGACUACUAUACCCAGCUUCUCUUUAAAAGCAGGCACUCCAGUUUUCCAUGACAAGACUGGAAGAAACCCAACACUUCCAAAUGGGACUGUUCUUUUCAAAAUUUUGGGGAGGGCAGGGGGGUACAUUUAUACUGUUAAGUAUGCUCUGCAUUCCAGUUUAAGGAAAUCGUUCAGAGAUGACAGAUUUUACACACUCUUCUCAAAUAUGGGUCAAGCUAGUCCCCAAUCUGUUCUACAUUAAAACAAAAAAACAAAAGGCAGAAUUUGCAUCAGGAAAAAAGGGCAGUAACAAGACUUGCUAAGAUUCCAACAAAGAAUUGACAUUAUUCAAAUCACACACUCAGUACUACAGCAUAUCCUGGAGACCCAGUGUGUUGUAGUGCUGACAGAGUUGGACUGAGAUUUUGGAAAACUGGAUUCUAGUACCCACUUAAACCAUGGAACUCACAGGUAAUUUUGGGCUUGUCAUGGUCUCUCAGGUUGACAUACCUCUCAGGAUUAUUGUGAAGAUAAAAUGGAGGAGAUCCUUGUAAGCUACCUUGAGUUCUUUACAAGGGGAAGGAUGGUGGGGCAUGACAACAAUAAUAAUAAUAAUGCCAAAAUAUGUCCAAUUCCUCAGAAAACAGAUCCACAACAUUAAUUUUUAUGCUUCAGCCGUGAAGUCUGUAGGCAAGUUGUUUCUUUACCUCUGCUCAAACUGCCUGGUGACCUAAACUUGGACUUUCACAGGGACUAUGUGAUUUGGCCCCCCAUAUAAAAAUCUAAAAAUAUAUUGUUAUCUGAAAAUGUAGCAGACUGAUGGGCGGGGCACCAGACAGUCAGUCAGUUAACACUGGUCUCCCACAAAGAAGGAACAAAACUGAGAAUGUGAAGAUGUUAUUUUAUCUUUGCUGGGAUUUUUAAUGUUCAAUGUUACGAUCAAUCAUUGCCUUGUUUGUUGUUUUAUUACUUUAUGUGCAUUCACUGAAGUUUAAUGCUAUUUUGUGAUAUUUUUUAUCAGACUAGA